Molecule: ribosomal RNA, 164 nt
Filed under: Rubus boninensis
Lineage: Eukaryota; Viridiplantae; Streptophyta; Magnoliopsida; Rosales; Rosaceae
Description: 5.8S ribosomal RNA
Rfam family: 5.8S ribosomal RNA
About the family: 5.8S ribosomal RNA (5.8S rRNA) is a component of the large subunit of the eukaryotic ribosome.
Source: RNAcentral
UAAACGACUCUCGGCAACGGAUAUCUCGGCUCUCGCAUCGAUGAAGAACGUAGCGAAAUGUGAUACUUGGUGUGAAUUGCAGAAUCCCGUGAACCAUCGAGUCUUUGAACGCAAGUUGCGCCCGAAGCCAUUAGGCCGAGGGCACGCCUGCCUGGGCGUCACAC